RNAcentral lists this long non-coding RNA (245 nucleotides) under Nicotiana benthamiana. RNAcentral's name for it is "long non-coding RNA (NBEN_LNC027213)". The record is from RNAcentral. Lineage: Eukaryota; Viridiplantae; Streptophyta; Magnoliopsida; Solanales; Solanaceae.
CUCAAAUAAAAUUUAAAGUCUGAAUUUUUAGAAGUUCUAAAACAUGGGAUUUUAAGUCAGAGCCAGAUUCAUCAAAUACCUCAUAUAAGAAGUCCAGAUCAGGUCUGCCUGCUAGUUGUAGCAGUUGCUAAUUAAACAAAGGUAGUUUCAAUUUUAUUCAAGUAUUAACCUAAGACUUGCCUAGGCGUAGUACUGUCAUCCUAUGAGCAUGAUAUCUAGAGAGAUAUUGUAAACAGUGAUUAAUU